UGGGGAAUCUUGCGCAAUGCGCGAAAGCGUGACGCAGCAACGCCGCGUGGGGGAAGAAGGCCUUCGGGUUGUAAACCCCUUUCAGGAGGGACGAAGCCGGGCUGGUGAAUAGCCAGUCCCGGUGACGGUACCUCCACAAGAAGCCCCGGCUAACUACGUGCCAGCAGCCGCGGUAAUACGUAGGGGGCAAGCGUUGUCCGGAAUCAUUGGGCGUAAAGAGCGCGUAGGCGGCCCGACAAGUCCGCUGUGAAAGUCAGGGGCUCAACCCUUGAAUGCCGGUGGAUACUGUCGGGCUAGAGUCCGGAAGAGGCGAGUGGAAUUCCUGGUGUAGCGGUGAAAUGCGCAGAUAUCAGGAGGAACACCGAUGGCGAAGGCAGCUCGCUGGGACGGUACUGACGCUGAGGCGCGAAAGCGUGGGGAGCAAACAGG
RNAcentral lists this ribosomal RNA (429 nucleotides) under uncultured bacterium. RNAcentral's name for it is "bacterial SSU rRNA". It matches the Rfam family "Bacterial small subunit ribosomal RNA", at positions 355 to 776 of the family's 1533-position model. The record is from RNAcentral.